CCCAGCUUCGCGAAGGCUCUCCGCGCGCCGCGGCCCGCAGGCACCCGGCACGCGCCCUCCCCGCCGCCAAGAUGCCCAAGAGGAAGGUCAGCUCGGCCGAAGGCGCGGUGAAGGAAGAGCCCAAGAGGAGAUCUGCGCGGCUGUCAGCUAAACCUGCUCCUGCGAAAGUGGAAACGAUGCCCAAAAAGGCAGCAGCAAAGGAUAAAUCUUCAGACAAAAAAGUGCAACCAAAAGGGAAAAGGGGAGCAAAGGGAAAACAGGCCGAAGGGGCUAACCAAGAAACUAAAGAAGAUUUACCUGCAGAAAAUGGAGAAACUAAAACUGAGGAGAGUCCAGCCUCUGAUGAAGCAGGAGAGAAAGAAGCCAAGUCUGAUUAAUAUCAUAUACCAUGUCUUAAUCAGUGGUCCUUGUCUCCUUUCUUGUACAAUCCAAAGGAAUAUUUUUAUC
RNA transcript from Propithecus coquereli (Coquerel's sifaka), 447 nucleotides. It is a transcript of the gene named non-histone chromosomal protein HMG-14 pseudogene, with no coding region annotated. The transcript has a single exon. The record is from RefSeq and is a predicted model, not a curated record. Lineage: Eukaryota; Metazoa; Chordata; Mammalia; Primates; Indriidae.